Long non-coding RNA from Brassica napus (rape), 2649 nucleotides. RefSeq lists it as uncharacterized. The record is from RefSeq and is a predicted model, not a curated record. NCBI's taxonomy places the organism in Eukaryota, Viridiplantae, Streptophyta, Magnoliopsida, Brassicales, Brassicaceae. The transcript is spliced from 2 exons.
UUUUGUACCACCCUACAAGACCCGUUCGGGUAUUUUUACAUUUCGGGUCGGAUAACGGGUCGGGUUUUUUGGUUCGGGUUCGGUUCAGAUUUCGGAUUCCGGAUGUUAUGCCCAUGCCUAAGGAUAUCCUACGGAUUGAAUCCCUCAACCCAUUUUGAGUACAUGAAGAUAAUACACACACGUGUUUCCACACUACUCUAAGUGUUUGUACUUGACACUAUUGUAAGCCAUGUGUCCCUAUCCAUUCAUGAGCGCAUACAAAACCAAGUCCCAGCUUAUUGAAGCGGCAUCACUUCUCACUCAUAUAGGUCCAAGCACAUACACUGGGAUGAUAUAUAGACAUGUGCUACAAUCUUUAAGUGUAGGCUUUCCACAUUGAAUUCAGCCUCUAACGUCGUAUUAAAAAGGAAUUGGGUAUCCCACCAUUAAAGAUUUCAAAUAGACUUUAAACUUAUCCCUUUAACAGACUCAAUUACCAAGUCUUUAGCUAAUCAUUUCGUCAAAUGAUAUGCUAUAUUUCUUUCAGACCGAACAAACCCUUAUGGUAUUCACCCCGUGAGUGAUCAGCUCAGAUAAUGCGCUAUAUCUAACGCUAGGUGUCGCGACUUACCAUUAAUCACUUGAUUAUAAACCUUAACCAAUAUUACUUCACUAUCAUAAAUAGAAACUGGUGGUAAUAUUUCGGUCACAACGGAAUCUCUUAAAUUAAAUUCCCUUAGCUAAUAUGCCUAUUAACCGGCAUAUGCUAAUGCUAAAAAGUUUUAUUCAAUAGUCAAACUUUCAUACAAAUUUGCUUCUUGGAAGCCCAUGAGAUGGCACCUCCCUAAGCAAAAUUACUCAACAACUUAUAAAAUAAUGUUCUUCUAUAUUGAUAAUCAAACUUGCAUCUAAAUACCCUUCUACCAUCGAAGAAAAUCUUACAUAUAACAAAUCAUAAUUUAUGGUUCCUUUCAAACAUUCAAGUUGUGAUACUUCUUGUCCUAUAUAAGGUACAAGCUUCACUCUCACAUAUAUGGGAGACUUCAUUGGAGAACAAUCUCACAAUUGAACUACUUAACAACUUUCUCAAUAUAAUGAAAUUAUGUUAACAAUAGUUUUUUACUUAUAUGUUAAAUUUUAACAAUCACAUCUACCUCCUCAUGUCUUUCAUUGAUGUUACAUUUGCACCUUAUCGAUGAUGAUCCAUUCGCACCCUUUUGGUGAUGAUACAUUCGCACCCUUUUAGUGACGAUACAUUCGAACCCUUUUGGUCCCAAACCAUUCGCACCCUUUCGGUCCUGAACCGUUCGCAUUCUACCCUUUCGGUCCCUAACCGUUCGCACCCUUUCAGUCUCCAACCGUUCGCAUCCUUUCGGUCCCGAACCGUUCGCACCCUUUCGGUCCCGAACCGUUCGCACCCUUUCGGUCCCGAACCGUUCGCACCCUUUCGGUCCCGAACCGUUCGCACUCUUAGGUCCCGACACGUUCGCACUCUUUAGGUCCCGACACGUUCGCACCCUUUGGGUCCCCACACGUUCGCACCCUUUGGGUUCCAUCACGUUCGCACCCUUUGGGUCCCGACACGUUCGCACCCUUUGGAUCACGACCCGUUCGCACCCCUUGGAUCACGACGCACUCGCAUCUCUUGGUUCACGACGCACUCGCAUCCCUUGGAUUACGAUAUGAUUGCACUUCUUCGAAAGUCUACUCUCUCAAGCAUUUACAACUUUCCAAACUUUGAUUUUAUCUCUCGCACAAAAUCAUAAGUUAUAGUUCACAACGAAAAUACUCUUUAAGAUUGUUGGUUAAUUAUUUGUUGGUUGGUAACACGAAUGGGUAUGAACUAUAUACUUGGAUAAUGACUGAAUCGCCAUGCUUUCCUUAAAGAGUAUUUCGACCCUAUUCCAAGCCUUUGGGUUACACGAAAUCUUUUUGUAGGAUAAGAGAAUCAAAGUCUCAUUCUUGUUCUAGGCUAAGAUACAAAAAUAACAAAUAAAGCUUUAGGGCUUAUGUGUUUCUUCAAAGAUCUUUGAUGAUCUUCGAACAAUGAAUCUUUCUUUCUCUCAAUCUUACUAACUAUUAGUUUUUGAUCUUCAAUAUUGUUUUACAAGUUGUGAUUCAAGUUGUGAAUUUAUUAUUUUCCAUUGCCCAUAACUCCUUUUAUAGAGUACUAAGGGUUACAAUGGUUAGCACCAAUAGUUACAAUGAUUAGUGAAGAAUUACAACCAUUAAUACCAAUAGUUACAUUGAUUAGACAAAAGUCACAAUGGUUCAUCACCAAAGACUUUAAUCACCAAUGAUAACAAUGGUUUAUCACCAAAGGUUGCAACCAUUUACCACUAAUAGUUACAAUUACAAACAGUUGCAUUUGUUCAUCUAAACAAUUGCAAUGUUUCACUUUAAUGGUUACAAGGGUUCACUUAAAUAUCCAACACUUACUUGUUGCUUUCUGGUUGGUUUGUUGUUUAUGUGUUGAAGGAUUUGUGCGGUCGAGACGCUGUGUGGGGGUAACAGCUAAACGCUGCGUUUUGGCUGUCGCUAGUCCUUCUUUUGUUGGAUAUUUGUGUGUUUUGUGUUUUUAGUGGGUCAAGCAUGGGGAAACUCAACUUGACUUGUGCGGUUGUGUCGGAUGGUUAUGUUAUAAUUGAAACAAAAUGUGCUUUUGGGAUA